GCUCACUUCCACAGGNCAUUUACUAAAAUUGGGAUGAUGCAGAGAAGAUAAACAUGACCCCUGUGCAAAAUAUCACCCAUGGAGUCAUGAAGCAUUCCAUAUUUUU
RNAcentral lists this small nuclear RNA (106 nucleotides) under Neotoma lepida (desert woodrat). Lineage: Eukaryota; Metazoa; Chordata; Mammalia; Rodentia; Cricetidae. The record is from RNAcentral.